CCCUUAGAUGUUCUGGGCCGCACGCGCGCUACACUGAUGCAUUCAACGAGUCUAAAACCUGCUCUGAUAGGGGUGGGUAAUCUUUUGAAUGUGCAUCGUGAUUGGGAUAGAUGAUUGCAAUUUUUCAUCUUCAACAAGGAAUGCCUAGUAAACGCAAGUCAUCAGCUUGCAUUGAUUACGUCCCUGCCCUUUGUACACACCGCCCGUCGCUCCUACCGAUUGAAUGAUCCGAUGAAUAUCAUAGACUGAGAGUAUAAGCAGGUUCGCCUGUCUUUGCUUCUCGGGAAGUGAAGUAAAUCUUAUCAUUUAGAGGAAGGAGAAGUCGUAACA
This 330-nucleotide ribosomal RNA is filed under the name uncultured eukaryote. Its description in RNAcentral is "partial 18S ribosomal RNA". It matches the Rfam family "Eukaryotic small subunit ribosomal RNA", at positions 1470 to 1796 of the family's 1831-position model. The record is from RNAcentral.